GCUGACAUGGACACUAUAUAAACAGGCCAGUCGGGAUACCACUGGAGUAUACAGAGAACUAAUUGCUCCACACAGCCCCGAGUGACAAGAUGAAGGAAGGGACGAUGCUUGUGAUUGCUGCGAUGGCACUGUGUAUGUUGAUGACAGUGCAGUCUCAAGGGACACGGCAAGCAGCGACAGGACGUCAGCCUCCAGUGGGGAUGUAUCCUGGAAGCUUUGGUCCCCUGGACUCGUUCAUGCGACGAGGCAACUACAUGAGACCGCAGCAGCAGUAUCGCCCACCGCCACAGGCUCCAAUGAUACCAUGGUGGUUACUGGCAGACAUGGACUUCUCCUUCUGAAGCAACUGUGUCUCUUCCCUUUAGCAACUUGUAUUCUCUGCAUCAGAUAGGAUGUGUUUCAUGGGUCAAUUGUAGUGACGUGAUGACAAAACUCCGUAUCGAUGAAUAAAGACAAAUACAGUUGA
Haliotis rufescens (red abalone) is the source of this 466-nucleotide long non-coding RNA. RefSeq lists it as uncharacterized. NCBI's taxonomy places the organism in Eukaryota, Metazoa, Mollusca, Gastropoda, Lepetellida, Haliotidae. The record is from RefSeq and is a predicted model, not a curated record. The transcript is spliced from 3 exons.